GCUAUUGUGCAACUUACAUGAGCGCAUGGAGACUUGCUGGUUUCGAGAAUUCCUCAGUUAUUGUAAGCUAAAACCAAUCCAUAACAACGGUGAACACGUAUGUGGUUCAGUUUUGUAGCAAUUUGAAUAAUCCUGGUCACAGUGUGCAUUAUUUUCCCAAAGGCCCAAGCCGCAGAGGACAGAGGUGAACAUUUCACCUGAACCUGGACAAGCUUCGACAAGCUUAGCACCCCCCACACAAAGGACCAAAACUGCAAAGAGCGCUUUUGUUAAAAGACAAGUUGCGGAGAUGUUCCAGGAAACAUCUUCAGCUCAAUAGGUUGACAUCAAACCAGCAGAUGUUGAAUCGCUAUCACACAUCUUUCCGACAGCAGAGAGAAUACUGCAACAUGUAUUUCAACCUCAUGUAUUCUCAAAGACCAAAUUAUUUUGUGCUAAUGUUAUGUAACAUAUUUAUACAAAAUAUAAGCAUACAGUUCAAU
Syngnathoides biaculeatus (alligator pipefish) is the source of this 482-nucleotide long non-coding RNA. RefSeq lists it as uncharacterized. The transcript has 3 exons. Lineage: Eukaryota; Metazoa; Chordata; Actinopteri; Syngnathiformes; Syngnathidae. The record is from RefSeq and is a predicted model, not a curated record.